This 102-nucleotide ribosomal RNA is filed under the name Anolis carolinensis (green anole). Lineage: Eukaryota; Metazoa; Chordata; Lepidosauria; Squamata; Anolidae. The record is from RNAcentral.
GCCUAAGACCAUACCACCCAGAAUAUCUUGGAAGUUAAGCAAGGUCGAACCUGGUUAGUUCUCGGAUGGGAGACCACCUGGGAAUGCUGGGUGCUGUAGGGU